CCUACGGGAGGCAGCAGUGGGGAAUAUUGCGCAAUGGGCGAAAGCCUGACGCAGCGACGCCGCGUGAGGGAUGAAGGUCUUCGGAUCGUAAACCUCUGUCAGCAGGGAAGAACGGUCACUGUGCUAAUCAGCAGUGAAUUGACGGUACCUGCAAAGGAAGCACCGGCUAACUCCGUGCCAGCCGCCGCGGUAAUACGGAGGGUGCGAGCGUUAAUCGGAAUUACUGGGCGUAAAGCGCUCGUAGGCGGUAUGUCAAGUCAAGGGUGAAAUCCCCGAGCUCAACGUGGGAACUGCCUUUGAAACUGGCAAACUGGAGUGUGUGAGAGGAUAGUGGAAUUCGAGGUGUAGGAGUGAAAUGCGUAGAUAUCUGGAAGAACAUCAGUGGCGAAGGCGACUAUCUGGCACAUAACUGACGCUGAGGAGCGAAAGCGUGGGUAGCAAACAGGAUUAGAUACCCGAGUAGUC
Molecule: ribosomal RNA, 465 nt
Filed under: uncultured bacterium
Lineage: Bacteria
Description: partial 16S ribosomal RNA
Rfam family: Bacterial small subunit ribosomal RNA
Source: RNAcentral